AGGUGAACCUGCGGAAGGAUCAUG
RNAcentral lists this non-coding RNA (24 nucleotides) under Drosophila melanogaster (fruit fly). Lineage: Eukaryota; Metazoa; Arthropoda; Insecta; Diptera; Drosophilidae. RNAcentral also lists the same sequence under 1 other name. The record is from RNAcentral.